GAUGAACGCUGGCGGCGUGCCUAAUACAUGCAAGUCGAGCGAACAGACGAGGAGCUUGCUCCUCUGACGUUAGCGGCGGACGGGUGAGUAACACGUGGAUAACCUACCUUUAAGACUGGGAUAACUUCGGGAAACCGGAGCUAAUACCGGAUAAUAUAUUGAACCGCAUGGUUCAAUAGUGAAAGACGGUUUUGCUGUCACUUAUCGAUGGAUCCGCGCCGCAUUAGCUAGUUGGUAAGGUAACGGCUUACCAAGGCAACGAUGCGUAGCCGACCUGAGAGGGUGAUCGGCCACACUGGAACUGAGACACGGUCCAGACUCCUACGGGAGGCAGCAGUAGGGAAUCUUCCGCAAUGGGCGAAAGCUUGACGGAGCAACGCCGCGUGUGUGAUGAAGGUCUUCGGAUCGUAAAACUCUGUUAUUAGGGAAGAACAAAUGUGUAAGUAACUAUGCACGUCUUGACGGUACCUAAUCAGAAAGCCACGGCUAACUACGUG
This 497-nucleotide ribosomal RNA is filed under the name uncultured bacterium. RNAcentral's name for it is "partial 16S ribosomal RNA". It matches the Rfam family "Bacterial small subunit ribosomal RNA", at positions 28 to 507 of the family's 1533-position model. The record is from RNAcentral.